Molecule: small nucleolar RNA, 133 nt
Organism: Erinaceus europaeus (western European hedgehog)
Lineage: Eukaryota; Metazoa; Chordata; Mammalia; Eulipotyphla; Erinaceidae
Gene: SNORA70
Rfam family: Small nucleolar RNA SNORA70
About the family: snoRNA U70 seems to be exclusive to mammals and is a member of the H/ACA class of snoRNA which contain H (ANANNA) and ACA box motifs. H/ACA box snoRNAs are involved in the conversion of uridines to pseudouridines (5-ribosyluracil) a constituent of structural RNAs (transfer, ribosomal, small nuclear, and small nucleolar).
Source: Ensembl
CUACAAUCAACAGUCCAUCAUGCUUCCCUCCCCCGUGGAGCCUGUGCAAUGGCUGCUAAUAAGAGCCUCCUGGGAAGUGUCUGUAGCCUUCAGCUUGUACAGGUUUCUCUAAGAGGCAGCCUUUUCCACUGAU